GGAAGCUAAAUUGAAUGGUCCAGGGGUAUGUACCGGAUUGAACAUACAAAGUUCUUUUGAAUACAUGAAGACUAGUUAUACAUGCACCAAACAAUUUUACUUUCUGGCUGUUAUUUGUUUGUAAUCGUUGAAGUCAUUUGGCACCUGAAAGUUUUUUUUUUCCUUCUUUUUGGUGGUGGAGUUUUGCACUUGAGGCACAGAAUUGGCACCACAUUUGUGAAUUAGUUCAUUAUACCGUAAACCUUGGAAUCUAUAUGAUAGUUUCACAGCUAAUCAUGUUUUUCAAAUAGUGUUGGUCCAUUUGGAUUUGUGAUUUAGUGAUGAGCUAUUAUAAAAAGAAAUUAUGUAGAGGGCAUAUGCCCAUCAUCCAGUGUCUUGUCCAAGGGGUUCAGGCUAAGUUUUAUGUAUCUUUACCGUUUCAAGGGGUUCAGACUAAGUUUUAUGUAUCUUUACCGUUACAUUAUGCAUGAUCAGAAUGCUAAAAAGUUGGGAACAGGUUAUCUAUAUGCAAGACAAUAAUGUAGUUGGCGACAGAUGCAUGUUAUAUUGCAUCUAUAUAGAGCUGCAUGAUGUUGAAUCUAAACAUUGAUAAAGGAGUUUGUAUAUUUAGUCAGCAAUUGAAGGCUUGAGGCCGAAAUGUGGAACUAGAGACCUUAAAAUUCUGUUUUGGAUUGUGGAAGGCUAGACUUAUUUGCUAGCUAAAAUGAUCACAAGUGGAGAUCCUAAAAGGUUACACUUAUUUGCUAGCUAAAAUGAUUUGAUCUGAUGAAUAUUUGAUAUGAAACCUCUAAAUUUGGAUAUCUAACCUCAUUUUUGAAUUUAGAUUUAAUUUUCAGAUCUAAACAUUUUUAGAUUCGGAAUAAGUGUUUACCGAUCUGAAAUCCAAUUCAAACCUAAAUGAAAUCUGAAAAAAAAUACUUGAAAUAUAUAUAUAUAUACACACACUAUUGAGAAAUUUGUGUAACAUGUCCACAUUUAAUGGGUUAUUUUUAAAAAAAAUUCCCUUUAAUUCAAUAAUUAUAGAUAUAUUUGAUAGAUUAUUAAAAUUUAUCCAAUUGUGUUUUUUUUGUAGAUUGUUAGUUCAUAUGUUUUGAGUGAAAUGAUGUAAUAUAAUCAUUGAAUAAAUCAUGCGCUUAUUUUUUUUGGUAUUAUUUGUAUAUUGCCACUGGUGUAUUAUAUUUUAAUUUUCGUGUUUCAUGUUCCAGAUAUUGAUUUUCAGGUAUAUUAAAGAUUUGAUCCAAAAAUUUUGGAUUUUGAUUAUUUCUAGGUCCAAUCCAAAAAACUGUGAAAUUGAAUUUAAAUAUUCAUUUUCAGAAUCAUAUGUGGUUUGAAUAUGGAUAAAAAUUUGGGUUUAAAUAUAAAUUAUGUCAUAUCCAACCUGAUUCCGAUUCCUCUUGGGUUGGGCUGUAUUUGCAAAAUCAAAUAUUCACACGAUAACAAGAGUUCGUCUCAUCUACCUCCGGCUCUUAUCAUCUCCAUCUCCUUAUCCACAUCUCUUGCUUCUCCAUCUUUAUCUCCUUUUUUCCAUCUUAAUUCUCUCUCAUGUUAAUCUCAAUGUCUAGUCACCGCUUUUCCAUCCACAAAAUAUCGUUUUUCUUGUUUUUAAUUUUCUAUUAAUAAACAUCCUCUUUUAUUUGUUUUUUCAUCAAUAAAAUCGAGUUUUGUGGAACAAGACUCGAAAAACUCAUUUGAAUUUUUCGUUCCCUUUUAUUUGAAUUAUUGUUUGUGUGCUUGAGUGUCCCGUUCUGUGCGAUGUGGUAGUUAUGUUUAAAUUUGAUUUCCUAAUCUUGAGAAGAACGGAAUCGUCCCUACCGUCACGUGCCUCAUAGAGCCACUGGAAUUGCUAUAAACAGCACUAACUCCUUGAUUGGACUAUUUGCAUUGUGAGAAUUGAAAAAUAAAAAGGCCUCCUUCUCAGAGCCUCACAGCUUGUAUCCACCUUGAUUGGACCAGAAAAAAUGCACUGGACUUUGCCUUCAUUGUUUACUAUGAAGCCUCCAAAGUCCAAUGCAACACAAAGCUUGCGGAUCCUUAUUUUUAAUUCCAUAUCAACCUAUAUUCUUGUUGAUGAUAGUCAAUAGACAUUCACGUGAAUAAUUCAAUAUCAACCCAUCUGCUUCUUCUGUGAAAACUAUGUACUAUAGAAUUUGUUUUUCUUCUCUACUCGAACAAUAUCUCUAACUUAGAACUCAAUUUUUAGAGAACUCAGAACUGCACUAUAUAGGUAUAAAAUUCGGGGAGAACUGAAAUUUUCUGACUAUGAAAACUAAAAAACCAAUAUCAUGGUCGUGUUAGACUGUGUUUGCAUUCAAGUUAUUGGAUUUGCCUCAUCGUCUAUCUGGCUAAACACAUUCGAUAUAUACUUUUUUUUUUUAAAAUUUGUUUCGGGUUCCCCUUUUAUUUACCAGAAGAAACAAAUCUGUCUUAAACUUUACUAUGAUUCUAUGUUCUAGAAUAAAUUUUUGUUAUCUUUGUUAAGUGAUUGUUUGUUAUCUUAUUUGGCAGGGAAGCUAAACUGAAUGGUCCAAGGGUAUGUAUCGGAUUGAACAUACAAAGUUCUUUUGAAUACAUGAAGACUAGUCAUACAUGCACCAAACAAUUCUACUUUCUGGCUGUUAUUUGUUUGUAAUCGUUGAAGUCAUUUGGCACCUGAAAGUUUUUUUUUCCUACUUUUUGGUGGUGGAGUUUUGCACUUGAGGCACAGAAUUGGCACCACAUUUGUGAAUUAGUUCAUUAUACCGUAAACUUUGGAUUUUAUAUGAUAGUUUCACAGCUAAUCAUGUUUCAAAUAGUGUUGGUCCAUUUGGAUUUGUGAUUUAGUGACGAGCUAUUAUAAAAAGAAAUUAUGUAGAGGGCAUAUGCCCAUCAUCCAAUGUCUUGUCUUUUCAAGGGGUUGAGGCUAAAUUUUAUGUAUCUUUACCGUUAC
Molecule: long non-coding RNA, 2926 nt
Filed under: Daucus carota (carrot)
Lineage: Eukaryota; Viridiplantae; Streptophyta; Magnoliopsida; Apiales; Apiaceae
Description: long non-coding RNA (DCAR_LNC003045)
Source: RNAcentral